Molecule: ribosomal RNA, 230 nt
Filed under: uncultured bacterium
Lineage: Bacteria
Description: partial 16S ribosomal RNA
Rfam family: Bacterial small subunit ribosomal RNA
Source: RNAcentral
UAAAGGUGCGUAGGCGGCCUGUUAAGUCAGGGGUGAAAGACGGUAGCUCAACUAUCGCAGUGCCCUUGAUACUGAUGGGCUUGAAUUGACUAGAGGUAGGCGGAAUGUGACAAGUAGCGGUGAAAUGCAUAGAUAUGUCACAGAACACCGAUUGCGAAGGCAGCUUACUAUGGUCUUAUUGACGCUGAGGCACGAAAGCGUGGGGAUCAAACAGGAUUAGAUACCCUAGU